CGGACGAACGCUGGCGGCGUGCCUAACACAUGCAAGUCGAGCGAGGCCUUGGAAUUGGAGUCCUUCGGGAUGAAGAGUCCUUGGCCUAGCGGCGGACGGGUGAGUAACGCGUGGGCAACCUACCCCAAAGUCCGGGAUAACAGUGGGAAACCGCUGCUAAUACCGGAUGACUUUACCUGAGGGCAUCCUCGGGUAAAGAAAGGUUACGCUUUGGGAUGGGCCCGCGUCCCAUUAGCUAGUUGGUGAGGUAACGGCUCACCAAGGCGACGAUGGGUAGCCGGCCUGAGAGGGUGAACGGCCACACUGGGACUGAGACACGGCCCAGACUCCUACGGGAGGCAGCAGUAGGGAAUAUUGCGCAAUGGGCGGAAGCCUGACGCAGCGACGCCGCGUGAGCGAAGAAGGCCUUCGGGUCGUAAAGCUCUGUCCUUGGGGAAGAAGGCGAAAGCUUGACGGUACCCAAGAAGAAAGCCCCGGCUAACUACGUG
RNAcentral lists this ribosomal RNA (488 nucleotides) under uncultured bacterium. RNAcentral's name for it is "bacterial SSU rRNA". It matches the Rfam family "Bacterial small subunit ribosomal RNA", at positions 27 to 507 of the family's 1533-position model. The record is from RNAcentral.